GUGUCAGCAGCCGCGGUAACACGUAGGUGUCGAGCGUUAUCCGGAAUUACUGGGCGUAAAGCGCACGCAGGCGGCUCUGCAAGUCUCGUGUGAAAGCUCUCGGCUCAACCGGGAGAGGUCGCGGGAAACUGCAGGGCUUGAGGCAGGGAGAGGGGCGUGGAAUUCCCGGUGUAGCGGUGGAAUGCGUAGAUAUCGGGAGGAACACCAGUGGCGAAGGCGGCGCCCUGGCCCUGGCCUGACGCUCAGGUGCGAAAGCGUGGGGAGCGAACGGGAUUAGAUACCCCGGUAGUCCACGCUGUAAACGAUGCGAACUAGGUGUGGGCAGUAUUGACCCUGUCCGUGCCGUAGCUAACGCGCUAAGUUCGCCGCCUGGGGAGUACGGCCGCAAGGCUAAAACUCAAAGGAAUUGGCGGGG
This 415-nucleotide ribosomal RNA is filed under the name uncultured prokaryote. RNAcentral describes it as "bacterial SSU rRNA". It matches the Rfam family "Bacterial small subunit ribosomal RNA", at positions 505 to 918 of the family's 1533-position model. The record is from RNAcentral.